GCUUAACACAUGCAAGUCGAACGGAAACGAUAGAAGCUUGCUUCUAGGCGUCGAGUGGCGGACGGGUGCGUAACGCGUGGGAAUCUACCUUAUAGUGGGGGAUAGCCCGGUGAAAACCGGAUUAAUACCGCAUACUACUCUACGGAGGAAAAGGGGCCUCUCCUUGGAAGCUCUUGCUAUUAGAUGAGCCCGCGUAAGAUUAGCUAGUUGGUUGAGGUAAUGGCUCACCAAGGCAACGAUCUUUAGCUGGUUUGAGAGGAUGAUCAGCCACACUGGGACUGAGACACGGCCCAGACUCCUACGGGAGGCAGCAGUGGGGAAUAUUGGACAAUGGGCGCAAGCCUGAUCCAGCAAUACCGCGUGUGUGAAGAAGGCCUGAGGGUUGUAAAGCACUUUCAAUAGGGACUAAAUGUUCAAAGUUAAUAACUUUGGAUCUUGAAUUAACCUAUAGAAGAAGGACCGGCUAACUCCGUGCCAGCAGCCGCGGUAAUACGGAGGGUCCGAGCGUUAAUCGGAAUUACUGGGCGUAAAGCGCGCGUAGGCGGUUUAUUAAGUCGGAUGUGAAAGCCCUGGGCUCAACCUGGGAACUGCAUUCGAUACUGGUAAACUAGAGUAUAGUAGAGGUAAGUGGAAUUCCAUGUGUAGCGGUGAAAUGCGUAGAUAUGUGGAGGAACAUCAGUGGCGAAGGCGACUUACUGGACUAAUACUGACGCUGAGGUGCGAAAGCGUGGGGAGCAAACGGGAUUAGAUACCCCGGUAGUCCACGCCGUAAACGAUGUCAACUAGCCGUUGGGAGCAUUUGAGCUUUUAGUGGCGCAGCUAACGCAUUAAGUUGACCGCCUGGGGAGUACGC
This 853-nucleotide ribosomal RNA is filed under the name uncultured bacterium. RNAcentral's name for it is "bacterial SSU rRNA". It matches the Rfam family "Bacterial small subunit ribosomal RNA", at positions 46 to 885 of the family's 1533-position model. The record is from RNAcentral.